CAUACAUGCUAAGCAUGCGCUCUACCACUGAGCUACAUCCCCUGCACAAAUUCCAAAAAUUACUUUGUUUUUGCCUAUAUAAAGGAAGAAGUGUGAGAAAAAAACAAUGAAUGGAGACGUUUCCAAGGGAAAACCUACUAUGACUGGCAAAAAGCUGACUUGGAAAGACUGAAUGCAUCACUUUAAAUAAAAAUCCUUGUGAAUUUGGAGUUUCAAAGUGGGACUGCACACGUUAAGGUAUGAAUAUCAAAAAAUGACUCUGCGGUUGGACUAGAAAGCUCUACAGUCAACUUCGUUGCUGGCAGGACUCGAACCUGCGCGGGGAGACCCCAAUGGAUUUCUAGUCCAUCGCCUUAACCUCUCGGCCACAACAACACAAAAAAACUAAAAGUAAGUAGAAUUUUGCUAAUAUCAGACACUGGCUAAGUUCAGGCUUAAUGUCUUGUAGUGCAGUGAUUCCUGACUCUUGCUAAUCCUGAGCCGGUUCCAAAGAAUGCUGUACCCUUUCUGCUCAUUCCUCUGAGCCUUUUUGGAAUUGGACGAACACAUUUAGUUUGUUUCUCUGCCAGAGUCAAAUUUGCAAUAAUCAAAAGAGCUUUUGAAGCCUGGAUAGCUCAGUCGGUAGAGCAUCAGACUUUUAAUCUGAGGGUCCAGGGUUCAAGUCCCUAUUCAGGCUUGAAGUUUUGUUGUGGAGUGACUUUCUGGUGAGAUGCCUGACUCUUGCUAAUCCUGAGCCGGUUCCAAAAAAAGAUGUACCUUUUCUGCUUGUUCCUCUGAGCCUUUUUGGAAUUGGGUUUCUCCUCAGUCGUCUUAUAUAUUCGUUUAACAAGUAUUGUUUUACAAGAUUACCUUUCAAUCAAGGUCAAACCUCAGUUGGUAGAGCCUCAGACUUUUAAUCUAAGGGUCCAGGGUUCAAGUCCCUGUUCAGGCUUGAAGUUUUGUAGUGGAGUGACUUUCUGGUGAGAUCCCUGACUCUUGCUAAUCCUGAGCCGGUUCCAAAAAAAGAUGUACCUUUUCUGCUUGUUCCUCUGAGCCGUUUUGGAAUUGGGUUUCUUCUCAGUCGUCUUAUAUAUUCCUUUAACAAGUAUUGAUUUAAAAGAUUCCUCUGAGCCUUUUUGGAAUUGGACGAACACAUUUAGUUUGUUCCUCUGCCAGAGUCACAUUUGCAAUAAUCAAAAGAGCUUUUGAAGCCUGGAUAGCUCAGUUGGUAGAGCCUCAGACUUUUAAUCUAAGGGUCUAGGGUUUAAGUCCCUGUUCAGGCUUGAUGUCUUGUAGUGCAGUGAUUCCUGACUCUUGCUAAUCCUGAGCCGGUUCCAAAGAAAGCUAUACCUUUUCUGCUUGUUCCUCUGAGCCUUUUUGGAAUUGGGUUUCUCCUCAGUCGUCUUAUAUAUUCGUUUAACAAGUAUUGUUUUACAAGAUUACCUUUCAAUCAAGGUCAAACCUCAGUUGGUAGAGCAUCAGACUUUUAAUCUAAGGGUCCAGGGUUCAAGUCCCUGUUCAGACUUAAUGUCUUGUAGUGCAGUGAUUCCUGACUCUUGCUAAUCCUGAGCCGGUUCCAAAGAAAGCUGUACCUUUUCUGCUCAUUCCUCUGAGCCUUUUUGGAAUUGGACGAACACAUUUAGUUUGUUCCUCUGCCAGAGUCACAUUUGCAAUAAUCAAAAGAGCUUUUGAAGCCUGGAUAGCUCAGUCGGUAGAGCAUCAGACUUUUAAUCUGAGGGUCCAGGGUUCAAGUCCCUGUUCAGGCUUGAUGUCUUGUAGUGCAAUCACUUUCUGGUUAGGUUCCUGAUUCUUGCUAAUCCUGAGCUGGUUCCAAAACAAGCUGUACCUUUUCAUCUUGUUCCUCUGAGCCUUCUUGGAAUUGGAUUUCUCCUCACCACUCUCAUACUUUCUUUUAACAAGUAUUGUUUUCCAAGAUUACCUUUCAAUCAAGGUCAAACCUCAUUUGGUAGAGCCUCAGACUUUUAAUCUAAUGGUCCAGGGUUCAAGUCCCUGUUUAGGCUUGUUGUCUUGUAGUGAAGUGACUUUCUGUUGAGAUUCCUGACUCUUGCUAAUCCUGAGC
Gasterosteus aculeatus aculeatus (three-spined stickleback) is the source of this 2059-nucleotide long non-coding RNA. NCBI's taxonomy places the organism in Eukaryota, Metazoa, Chordata, Actinopteri, Perciformes, Gasterosteidae. The record is from Ensembl.